This 557-nucleotide long non-coding RNA is filed under the name Spirodela polyrhiza (greater duckweed). RNAcentral describes it as "long non-coding RNA (SPOL_LNC000020)". The record is from RNAcentral. Lineage: Eukaryota; Viridiplantae; Streptophyta; Magnoliopsida; Alismatales; Araceae.
UCUGCUGGAUCGCGGAAUUCUCACUCUCUCUCUGGCACCGAGGGACAACCACGAGGCUCAGGUCCAAUUCGCCCUCGAACGCGGCAUUCCAGCUAUCUUGGGCAUCAUCUCCACCCAACGGCUUCCCUUCCCUGCCAAUUCCUUCGACCUGGCCCACUGUUCGAGGUGCCUCAUUCCAUGGACAGAAUUCGGUAUACAUAUUCUCUCUCUCCCUCUCUCUCUCAUUUUUUUUAAUUUCCCGUGCAUAUCUCUCUUCGUUAAUUCCUUCCAUUUCGUUUUUCUUUUCUGAAUUUAUCCAGGUGGGCUCUAUCUCAUGGAGAUCCACAGGAUCCUCAGGCCCGGGGGGUUCUGGGUUCUCUCCGGGCCCCCGGUCAACUACGAGAACCGGUGGAAGGGAUGGAACACGACCAUCGAGGAGCAAAAGUCAAACUACGACGGGCUGAAGAAGCUGCUGACGAACAUGUGCUUCAAGCUGUACAACCAGAAGGACGACAUCGCCGUGUGGCAGAAGGCCUCCGACGGCGACGCCGCCUGCUACGACCAGAUGAAGGCGCCCG